RNA transcript from Anastrepha ludens (Mexican fruit fly), 2363 nucleotides. It is a transcript of the gene named Bardet-Biedl syndrome 1 protein, with no coding region annotated. The record is from RefSeq and is a predicted model, not a curated record. The transcript is spliced from 6 exons. NCBI's taxonomy places the organism in Eukaryota, Metazoa, Arthropoda, Insecta, Diptera, Tephritidae.
AUAAACCAAAACAAAGUGAAAAUAAUUGUAUGGCCAAAAGAGAUUAGAGAAAACUGCAAUGGGUUGUGUAUUAAAACGAAAGUACUCAAAAGCGUAAAAAAAUAUAUUCACUUCACUUUAAAAUAUGUCUGUCAACUCCAAAUGGCUACAGGUCAUCGUGGACGAAGAUGAGCCACGACCGCGUCUAAACACUGUCACCAGCUGCAUGACGUUGUGCGAUAUCAAAUGCGACAAUUACGUGCGACUCAUUGCGGCAGACAUCUCAUUAGAGAAUGAACCGACGGCGACCUUGAAAAUUUUUCGUGGCACUACGCUGCACACGGAAUUGAAGCUCAACGGUAUACCAGCUGCCAUACAAAGUUUCUACAGCGACGAGUCGGAGCCCAAAACGCCAAUCGUUGCAGUGGCCAUUGCAGAGUCAGUUCUAUUUUUUCGGAGUUUGAAACCUUAUUUCAAGUACACAGUGCCGGGCUUAGAGGCCGAGGAGUUGGAACAAGAUCUCUGGCGUAAAUUGCCAACGGUACGCGUGGAACAGCAGCCAGCAUUAGUUGAAAGCUUAAAAUCCAUUGAGCGUCCGAAGAUGUCGAGAAAGUCUCAGAAGCUCAUACAACUGCCAAUCGAGGAACAAAAUGACUUCAUUUUGAAGUAUGCAGAUGCAACGGUAAUGCGUCAUGCGAACAUUGUUGCCCUCAGUUGCCUGCAACGCAUCUCCAGCGACGCGAAUCCACCCUCACAUUUGGUUAUAGCCACCGAUAAUGGUGAUGUAUUGGUGUUGGAACCACAAAGUUUCGGUUUGAUCUACCAAGCGAAGACCUGCGCAUAUGAAACCGUACCAUCUAUGAUGGCCGUGCAUGGCACUUUCGAGACUGACUUUUGCAUAGUGAUUGCCACACGCUAUGGUGGUGUAUAUUUGCUUCGGAAGUCGACUAGGGAAGGACAGGAAAUAUUCAAAAUUUCCCAUCCAUUUACCGGUUUAAUGCUUUUACCGGUCGAUCAAACGAUCACAUUAUGCGCCAUGGAUUGUCGUCUUGUUUGCUAUUCGAAAAAGGGCAAGCAAUUGUAUGUGAACAAACUUUCAGCACUGCCGAUAUGUAUGAUCCCCAUCAGUCUACCCCAUUUGGGACUAACACUUUGUUGUGUAGCGCUCGAGGGCGGUUUAGUGCAGUUGUACUUGCAACGAUAUUUGGUUAAUGAAUUCCAUAUGGUAUCCACAAUCGGUGCGAUGUGUUUCGGACGAACUGGCCUUGAAGAUUAUGUGCUAAAUAUGAUUAGUGUUGAGGGUGAAAUAUUCGUAAAAAUUUUGAAAAGGACUGCGGGUUUCGAUCCGAACGAGCUGCUCGCACUUAAGGAGAAUAUCGAUAAGAAACAGGUGGUUGAAACGAUUUUGGAAAAGUCUAAGAAAAGUUCAAUAUUUGUGGAACAGGCGGCCAGGGAAAAACAAAACGCCAAGGCGACCUAUGGUGCCUUUCAAGCCGAGCUAUGGCGCUUACGUUAUGUAGCCGCCCGCGCCACCGCCGACGCCAUUAACUCCUCUGAGAGCACUAUUUCUGGAGAUAUUAUGCACGCACCUGUCAAGCUAUCGGCAGAGGUGUGUGGCGUUGGUCCCGAAUUCCGACUAUAUCUAACAAUACAGAAUAUGUCAAGCUACAAGAUGGCCUCUAACCUAACCGUGCUUUUACACGCUGAUCGACGUCACUACACCAUAGCGAAAACAAUUGCCAAGUUGCCUAGCAUAUUGCCCGGAGUGCCAUUGAAAAUCGAUUUUGAGGUCGUAGCAGUCUUGGAACCGAACGAUAAACUACCACCACACACACUUACGCCUGACAACUCACAAAUACGCGUAAUGUUGUUGAAAGCACGCCAAACAAAGCCGCUGAUCGCCGCAGUAAUCGCCAUGCCUCAAUCGGAAGCGAAUAUUUGAAUGCGAUAUUAAGGCAUGCUUGUGUGUGUGCGUGUUUUAUAGAAGCAAUAUAAAGUAGUUGUGCCUAAAAGUAUGUUAGUAAAAUGCAAAGCAAGGAGAUAAGUUUAAAAAACACACCCUAUAAAUAAUUCAGCACCCGACUAUAAAAAUAAGGAACGCUUCUAUUUAAUUUGUAUAACCUAACUACUUUAAGCAAACAAUUUAAUUCACAAUUUCCCGAAAAUCAAAGCGUGCCUGUUCUGCACAGCUAAUUGAUUUCUUUUACACGUUUCUCAUCAGUGCUCAGUCUCGUGCGUGCAGUAAAAAGAGAUUAAAGUUUAAAAUUAGGCAACGAUUUUGUAACAUAUUUCAAUAACGCAUACUAGCAUAUGUACUUGUAUAACCUAUUUAACUAGUAGUUGUGUUAUAGUAAACUGCAAUAAAAUCAACUUUUAGUUGACCG